Molecule: non-coding RNA, 3022 nt
Organism: Taeniopygia guttata (zebra finch)
Lineage: Eukaryota; Metazoa; Chordata; Aves; Passeriformes; Estrildidae
Source: RefSeq, a predicted model, not a curated record
CCGUGCGUUGGCCGCGCCCCCCGGCUGAGGGGAGCAGAGGGGUCCCGGGGGUGCGCGGGGCUCCCCGGCCGGGAAUUCCCGGGGGAAAUGGGAAACUGCUCCUGAGGGGCACGGGCUCCUACAGGCGGAGGAAAAUUAAUCCAAAGUGUUUUCGUGAAGAUUGGACAGAGAAACGCAGAGAAAUUGCUGGCCCUCAUCGAGUGCUCUCCUGACAUAACGGCACAGAUCACAUUUUCGGAUAGUUUGUCACCAUAUAGUCGUCCACGGGCUGAACCGUCAAAGGCGAUAUGUUAAUUUCUAUAUUCGGAUAGCUACCGCUGACCAGUGAAAUAGAAAAAGUUCCUUAAAAUACUUCUAGCUCAGGAACAAAGAACAGAAAUGCAGUAAUAAGGCUGCCCUUCAGCACACCAAGGUUUUGGCUUUCAGGGCACACUGAAGGAGGCUGAUUUGGUUUUUUUUUUCAUGUUUGGGCCUUUCACACCAGUGUUCCUCAAGGAGCUCAGGUGUGGUCAAUAAAGAAGCUGCUGAGCCACUGUGGAAGGAUGAGGUGUUUACCAAAAAAUCUGCCAUCGCACUUGUCUGUGAUGAUGUGUUUUAGUCCAAGGUCACCUGGUCCUUGGGUAGAGAGGACGUCUGAGCGAGAGAGCCACAAGAAAACACAGGCCUGACUGGUUUUUAUCAGACAUUAAUGCAGAAAUCCUUCUCUCAAGCCAACCUUAGCAGAUGGAAAUGCUCUCAGAGAGAGCAGACUGAAGAAGUGACCUAAGUGAACUGUGCAGCACAUGAGCUUAGAUGUACAGAAGGUCCUGUGUUAUCCAAAAAAGGUAAUGGCCAAGGUCACUGCAGUGGAAGGACAUCAAAGAGUUUCAGUUGAAACAGAAUGUUUGGGUUGCUUAAUAGAAUUGUUCUUGGUUGAUAGAGUUUGUGGUUAAAAUGUUGCCAUGUAACAUGAUGCCAAAACUACUGAUACAAGCUUAACAGAGGAUAUUGUAGGUAGCAAGAAUUAUAUUGAAUGUAUCAACCAAUGUGGCUAUGAAAUGCUAAAAAAUCAAGUCAGAAAUACUCCAUUCUAUUAAACAGUUUGGCUCUUCAGAGCUUUCCCACAAGUGAUAUUUCUAGAUCCUCUGUUGCCCUGCUCAAAGCUGCAAUGAAAUAAAGUAAUAGUUUUCAUUUUCAAAAUAAAAAAAGAUAACCCAAUCUCUUGGCAUCGGUUUGAAUAAAACUGAUUUGAUGUCUAAUCUGAUUUAAAUGGAUCAGAAAUGAAUGUACCAAAGAUAAGACAGUUGCUAUUUAAUCACAGUCUCAUUUGCCUGUCAAUGUGAAGUCUACUACAAAUCAAGACAGCAAGUAGCCUGAAGCACCAAUUUAUUUUCUGUCAACGAAAGGAAGGCUUAUCUCCACAAAGUUGCUGCCAGUUUUUUGUCUCUACAAAAUAAAAAAUGCACUCCUGACUCACAGGAGAAACAGAAGUACCUGGAGGUGGAUGCAUGGAAUACUUUCAAAAAAUCUUGCUUUGCUUCAGUGCUUCAGAAAACAAGUCCUAGGUCAAAAGCCAUUUGAUGGGAUCUCACAGAGAUGAGAGCAGAAACACUAACUUACAUCUUGUGUUCUUUAGCCAGGAAACAGUCUGUUCACUUCAGCCAGCAUUUCCUUGCUCUGAUGGGUGUCUAUGUAAACACAGAGCUGAUCUGAUGUAUUUCAGUCAGUUCUAGUAACAACAGGUAAUAUUUACUUUUGACUGUUUGCUUUUGCCACUUCUCCAGCAUCUUCCUGUGCGGCUUUGAAAGAGCUUCCAAACUCCCCUCUAUGCUGCACACCAGAAAAGGACAAAACAAAGACAAUGUACCAAGUUAGCUCUUCCACACAGCUAGAGCAGGGACGCCAAAAAACUGCCCGAAAGGCUGAACUUGUCACAAAGCUUAGUUUAAUUUGACAAUCAUCAUAAGGCAUCCAUGUAAAUGAAAAAUUCCCACCAGGCUCACAAACAUUCUCCCACUAAAUAAAAUAUGUUAAAACAGAGGCCCGUGAUUCCAAAAAAUGCUAGUGGUUCCUGGUCUCGACCAGGCUGCUGCUGCUGGCAGUGGGGUCCAGGAGAUGCAGCACCAACAGCGGCAACUGUGGAAGUGUAAAGUCAGCUUGUACAAAUCUCUUUCGAUAGAGCAACAAAUGAAAAGGAAAGAGAUUGGUGUAGAAAACAUCAUUCGCCAUCCUUUCUGGGAAAACAAAACAGAAUUUAAAAGAUAAUCCCAUUCAAGGAGCAAAGAGCAGAGCUUGGAGUUCUGAAGCUCAAAAAUGCUGAUGGCCCAUUUUUAAAACUAAUGAAGCACUACAGAGGCCUGAGUUUAUUAUUGCUUUAUCCCAGUUCAGCCCAGGCUAAGGCUAUGGUGAAGUCCAAAUUCAUUUAAAGCCAGAAAAUGCAGAUCCAGUAACAGCACCUAAGUCCCCAUCCACACAUGGGUGUAAACAGAUACUUCUGGUGAAGAAAAAAAAAAGCCCUUCCAAAUUUCCUCCUCUUCCUGUCUAUGCAGAUCCCCAUAGCAGGGCAAAAAUUUGCCCUGAAAUAUAAAACAAUUUCUCUCUCGCAUCUCUGUUAGCCGAGUCUUUUCCAUAUGUUUUGCCUUUUGUUCAUACUAUGCUGGUGAUGCAUCAGCUCAGAGAUGCCUUGUGGGAGCUCACAGACAGCACACAGGUACCCACAUGUUAAAAAGUUUGUGGCACAGUCUAAGAACCAUCACCUGUACUCUGCAAUACCCCCAGGACACUUUGCCCUUGGCUACCUGAGACCAAACAGCACAGAGGGAAGACAGUGUCUUCCCAUCCUGCAUGGCUGGCCAGUGAUCCAGAGAAAUAGCAUGCCAGGGAAAUGAAAUGGCACCUUACUCCCACCCUAAGUCAGAAAACAGACUUGGGUAAAGUGGGACUUAAAAGUUUCACAUCAAGAAAGAUGGUGCUUCCCUCAAGACUAUUGUAUGACAGGGCCACUGUUAUUCAGGCAAACAUUAUUCAAGGUGGUAAAAUCUUA